Molecule: long non-coding RNA, 4156 nt
Filed under: Coffea arabica (coffee)
Lineage: Eukaryota; Viridiplantae; Streptophyta; Magnoliopsida; Gentianales; Rubiaceae
Description: long non-coding RNA (CARA_LNC003482)
Source: RNAcentral
GUGUAUGAUAAAAGCCAGCUUGCCGAUUUGUGAAUUUAUUGUUGAGAUUUUGGUUAAUAAUUGGAUCAUUUGCUGAUAAAUGUUAAGCGACCAUUCCUUCUUCUUAUUCUAGUUUGCCUUAACUUGGAGGAGUUUGUGGUUUAGAAGCUAACCGGAGUGGUGUUUCUUGGACUUGGCCAUUGAUGCUUGAUUUAUGUUUUUCUUGGUAUCUUGGCAAUAAGGUAGAUGGAGCAAUAGUCAUUGUCAAAUAUUGGUGUUUGUUUACUGUUCUUAUGCUUGAGGACAAGCAUGGUUUAGGUGUAGGGGAAAUUGAUAGGUUACAAUUUUAUCAUUUAUUUUAUUAUUAAUUUCCCCUAUUGCCUGAUCUGAUGUGGAUUAAUUGUUAGAUUCUACUCAUUUUUAAAAAUUUGCAUUUAUUACAGGGAGUAGAACGAAAAUACCACAACAAAUGCUAAUUCGACAGUCACCAGGAAAGAGUUCAAAUAGCAGGCAUCCAGGGGUAUUUUUGGAAUAUUAAGACGCGACCCCUUUUUGGUAAUUUACGGAAGACAGCAUUCAAGAGAAAAAGGAGGGCUGGAGUCUUCUUCUUUGGCAGAGGUGGACGCCGCAGAGGAGCAGUAGGCAUUAGAUAGAAAUUAGAAAUAGCAGACAACUAGGACUACUUGGUAGCUAGCUUUUUGACUUUUGUCUUUAGUUUUUGGGUAGCUUUACCUCUCGUAUGUCAGAUGCAAUUAGAAAGACAAACAAAUCAUUCCCUGUAGCUUUUCUUUUUGACGUUUGCUUUUCGUCCUUUGUGGCUCUCCUGCCUCGUAUGUCUGGGACAAUUAGAAACAAUUGAAUCAAUCGCUGUGGCUGGCUCAUCCUUUGUAAUUCGAGCAAAUUGAAUUCUCCCGAUCAAUGACAAAGGCCGCAAUUGUUCUUUCCGCUUUGUGAGGGUGUUCCUCAUUAGGGAUGAACUAAAUCCCUUUUCUAGUCAAGAAACAAUGGAGGCUUUGGUUCAUCUAAAUUGUGAGAUCAAUUUAAUUUUAUCUUUUUCUUUUAUUUAUUGGUACUCACAUAUUCUCUGAUUACCGUGCUUAUGGUUGUUCAAUUAAUUGAUUGUCUUGGAUCCGGAUAAUUAGUUGAUUUGCUAAUCUAUUGUCAAUUGGGAUAUUAAAUCCGUAAUUGUUUAAUUGCCUUGAAAUAGUGACAACUGGCAUGAUUAGGUUUGUGUCAGGGGAAUACGCAGGCUAAUAUAAAAUAACCCUGGUAGUGCGUUAUUUUGUUAGAAUAGGGCUCCUCCAACACGUAAGGCAAUUGGGGAAUUAAAUCUUACGGGCGUACCUAGGAUUAUUUCUCAAUUAGAGCAGUGAUUAACGGGCGUACCUUAAUCACUGACACAGUAAGGAGGGGUUGACUGUCAUCGUUUGUUUGACAGUUAUAACCUAUUUAUUAGUAAAUAAUUGGAAUUAUCUUUGUAUCGAUGAUCAAUUAGAUAAACCAUUGCUGAAGUUAUUUCUUGGCUAGACCUUUAGUUAUUAUUACUCUAAUUUUAGUAAUUUGUCAUUUAAUCUUUUGUUGGCUAUUUAUUUUUAUUCGAACCAUUUACUUAUUGCCAUUGCUAUAAAAAAAAUCCCCCCUUGUUACUUUGAAUAUCAAAAAGAGACAAAUAUCUCCAGUCCCUGAGGAUAUGACUCUACUUGCCCUGUUUACAUAUUAAUAAUUAUUUGUGAAAAUGCCAUCCCAUUCGGGUAUAUCGGAUCAAGCAAACUCUUCGGGAAUAAAGUGAAUCAAGUAACCCAUUGCACACCUAGAGUCCCUGCUACAAUAUUUGGAAUCGGAUUUUGAUUACUUUAAUUGGCAAUUAGAUUUAUUUUUAUUAUUACACGGGCAUCGACAACCUGUCAAGCUGCCAUAAAUUUUUGCUUUUAAUCCUAUGUGGUCAUUUCCUUGGAUUCUUUUUUUUUGCCUUCGUUACUCCUGUUCGGCAUCCGCCAAUUUCUGAAGUAGUGACAGGCAUAUCCAUAAGUACAAUAAUAGUACACAAGGAACAUAUUAUACCCUACAACUCAUUGAAAUACAAACUUUUAGUAUUUAAAAACCCACUUGCGAAUUGGAAUUCUUAGUAUAUUGGACUUGUACUCUUGCAAUCAUUCAUUAUUUUUGGCAUUUAAUUUUUGCAAUGAGAAUUGUUUUCAAAUUACCUAUAAGUAUAUAUGUAAAUUGACUUUCCACAAAUUAAUUAAAAUAAAAUAAAAAUCUUUAGCCUUGAAAUGACCAUUUUCAUUUAGCCAGUGGAGGCACAUUUGUCAUUUAAUAAGACAAAAAUUAAACCUUGUUAAAAAUACGAUGACUAAAACUGUGGCUUCGUUUGGAUUAGUCUAUUUUUUCACAAACUAUUUUUGUUUGCAAAAUCUACAAUAACAAUCUCCACAAACAAAUCCAAAAGUACUGUUGCGCCCCAUUUUUAAAAAAAAUAAAAUAAAAUAACGGGUUUAUAAAAAUGAAUUUUUUAUUGAUUUUGAUUGAAAAUGAGUUUUUGAUUUUUAGAAAAUAAAUAAAGAGAAAUGGAUUAUACAAAAUUAAAAACAAAUAAAGUGAAUAAAAUGCCUCUCAAAUAAUCAAAAAUUAAAUUAUACAAAAUUAAAAACAAAUAAAGUGAAUAAAUAAUAAAAUAAAAUAAUUCAAAAAAAAGAGACAUGCAAUUACACAUAUAAAAUCAUAUAGGAACACAUAAGAGGAUUUAAAAAUAACACAAGAGAAUACCUCCCUUUGAAGUAGUAGCUAAUGAGGGAUUGGAUUGUCCUAUUUAACUCAAAAAUUAACAAAAAUCAUCACCACACCAAUUUAAUUAACAAAUAAAAACAAUAACAUGUAAAGAAAUGAAAUUGAUUAAUUAAAACAUUUAAAUGAAAGUAAACAACCUAUAUUCAAAAAAAUUAAAACAAGUAGGGAUCUAAUUAAAAAUAAGAAAGUUUUAGGGGUUAAUUUGUAAUUUUCAUAAAGAUUUGGUCAAAAUUGAAGAAAAAUAAAGUUUAGGAACCUAUUUGCAGUUAAAUUAGGGACCGAAUUGAAAGAAAUCAAAGGUUUUAGAGCCUUAAUAUAAUUAUAAACAAGUAUAGGAACUGUUAUGCAAAUUUCGUUUUCUGGUUUCUUAAUAACAGGCCACGAGGCCACUUCUCUUAUUUAUUUGGGCCGAAAGUCCUCCCAGCCCAAUAAAAACCCAAAGCCCAAGGAGCGGGCCAGUCAACCAUUCUGACCCCAAAAUAAUCCAACAAACUAAUAGGCUUUAACCCUUCCAACCCAAGACAAACCCAAAGAAGAAAAGUGCCUAAUCCAAUUCCCAAUGACCCAAACAACGAAUCAAAUCUAAUUCCCCUUUUAUUUUACCAAAAUCCAACAAAGUAAUAGCUGAAAUAAAAAUGUUAAAGUCUAAUUUCAUCCCAAAAUCCAGAAUUAAUUAACUGAAAAGCACACUUAAAACAUAGAAAAGAAGAUUUAAGAUUAAAAGGCCUAAAAAUGAUUUAUUUGCAAAAGUUUUUGGGCUGUAGUGGGAUUAUCCGGGAGUUGGGGGUUAAAAUGAAAUUUUUGGAAAAACCCAUGCAACUGGUUCGAAGAGCCUUUUCCGUUCUGCAACUUUCUUCUGCGACUCCUGGGAGCUUAUCAUCAACUCAACAAAAAUUUCAAACAAUCCUUAAACACACGAAACCGAAUGACUACCUCAUAUCCUAUUAUCGUAACUCAACAUUGAAGGAAAUCAAGAACAGGAAAUCUAGAUAAAACAUAAAAAUGCAAGCCAAUGGCAGCAAAAGGAAACGAAAGAGAACAGCAAAUGAAUGUAAUAGCAAACGAAAAUGGAAGGAACCAGAGCAUUAGUUUAGGGGAGUACCUGAUGAAGGUUGUCGGAUCAAACUAGAAUAAGGGAACAGGCAAAAGAAGCAGCUAUAGUCAACUUCUCGAACCUUUGGACAUGCAUCAGUGAAACGGGAUCAGCCCAUUCAGGGCCAGAUUCGACGGUUCUACAGAUGUUUUUUCUCCAAGAUUUGUGAAUAAAAGUCGAUUCUCUAACUUUGUAGAUUAAGAAGAAAUUAAAAUUUCAUUCAACUAAGCUACAAUGAAAGAGAUAUUUGAGCCGAAAUAUGGCUGAAAAUCAGCCCUUUUUACCAAAAUUUUCUGC